This is a long non-coding RNA of Bos taurus (domestic cattle), 417 nucleotides long. The record is from Ensembl. NCBI's taxonomy places the organism in Eukaryota, Metazoa, Chordata, Mammalia, Artiodactyla, Bovidae.
CCGGGCUCCUCCCCGCCGCCGCAGCGAGUCCAGGCUGCAGGACCAGCGUCGUCGCCCUGCCUGCCACCCCAGAGAAGGCCCACCAGCCGACCCGCCCCCACCUCAGAAGUCUGGGCCCAACCCUGCCCGGGAACCCCUGCUCCUGGGUUCUAACGAUUCCGUAUGCUGCCCUCCCUGGGCUUCCCGCGGCCGCCACCCGCCUCCUACACGAAAAGCCCAGGAGGUGGAUCCUAAAGGGAAGAGAAGAGGAACUUCCCUGGGGGUCCUGUGGCUAAGACUCCACGCUCCCCAUGCAGGGGGUCUGGGUUCAAUCCCUGGUUGGGGAACUGAUCUCACAUGCUGCAACUAAAGCUCUUGCACACGGAGAUGAAGGUCAAAUAUCCCGCGUGCUGCAAUACAGACCUGGAGCAGCCACCU